AAGGUAAUAAUCCUGUAGUUGAAAAUAUAUUCUCUCUUGAGUGGAUCCUGAGUACGACGGAGCACGUGAAAUUCCGUCGGAAUCUGGGAGGACCAUCUCCUAAGGCUAAAUACUCUCUAGUGACCGAUAGUGAACCAGUACCGUGAGGGAAAGGUGAAAAGUACCCCGGAAGGGGAGUGAAAGAGAACUUGAAACCGUGUGCUUACAAGUAGUCAGAGCCCGUUAAUGGGUGAUGGCGUGCCUUUUGUAGAAUGAACCGGCGAGUUACGAUCUGAUGCAAGGUUAAGCAGAAAAUGUGGAGCCGUAGCGAAAGCGAGUCUGAAUAGGGCGUAUAGUAUUUGGUCGUAGACCCGAAACCAGGUGAUCUACCCAUGGUCAGGUUGAAGUUCAGGUAACACUGAAUGGAGGACCGAACCGACUUACGUUGAAAAGUGAGCGGAUGAACUGUGGGUAGCGGAGAA
This 461-nucleotide ribosomal RNA is filed under the name Enterococcus faecalis. RNAcentral describes it as "partial 23S ribosomal RNA". It matches the Rfam family "Bacterial large subunit ribosomal RNA", at positions 361 to 825 of the family's 2925-position model. Lineage: Bacteria; Bacillati; Bacillota; Bacilli; Lactobacillales; Enterococcaceae. The record is from RNAcentral.